GCCAGGCAGCGGUGCCGGGUGCAUGUGUGUGUCGCGUCCAAAAGCCAGUGAACGAAAGAAAACAUCUGAAAAUAACUAUAACAUCUGAAAUAAGGCCUGGAUUGCUGAGCACACAUUUUCGAUGCAGUGAACAAGUGCCCGUGACAACACCAGCAAUAGAUGAACAAUGAACGAGUGUGAGAGAACAUAGUGCCUCUGGCCGGAUCGGUUUGGCUGAACUCCCUUCGAGAGGGUGAUCUUGCAGUUAAUUUGCAAGACAUUAAAAAAAGAUAAAGAACGCAUAAG
Molecule: long non-coding RNA, 285 nt
Filed under: Penaeus japonicus
Lineage: Eukaryota; Metazoa; Arthropoda; Malacostraca; Decapoda; Penaeidae
Description: uncharacterized LOC122256749
Source: RNAcentral